GCCAUUCAAAGUUGUAAAAAUCAUGACGCUGCACCCCACGGUUUACGUUUUAGGGGGCGCCAAAGAUGACCCAAAUAUACAUUACAGUAGACAAAGUAGUUUUGCCCACUGAGUGGCGCCAAAGGGACUUGUCUGUGGAGUCUGUGGGUCACUAUUGGCCGUUUUUGACUACUUUAGAUUUUACCUUUAUAUUUCCUCUUACAAAAUUUUUACCUUGCCUUGCCUGGUAUCAUUUUUUUCAGCACAACCUCACCUGUGUCAAUUUACAGUUAUUUUAUCAUUUUGACAUACUAUAUUUACACAUUGGACCCAAAUUCACACACAAAACAUAAAAUCCGAGUGGAAAAAAGUAACGUUUUUACUGUGAAAACCACAAAUAUGUGUGAUGAACUGUUUUUAAAACUUAAACUUCAAAUAAAAAUUGUAAACUUCAAAACAUAUGCAAAUUUUUAACAAAGAACAUAGUAAUUUACCUCUAUUGACAUCAAAAUGCAGGCAAUGGCCCAGGUGUUCUUUGUAAAAUUAUUUACAAAACACUGUAUAGUCUCACAAAUGUCACUUUUUAUUUAUGCCACUACAAAAAAACAUGAUGUAAAUGAUGCAUGAUGUAAAACAUGAUGUAAAAAACUUGUGUAGAUCCUCCUCUAUGUUAGUCCAUGUGUAAUUUUUCCAUAAUUCUUUGUUUUUUGCAGCAUUUUUGUUAGUGUAACUGCAGAUUGUGCUGACAGUGUCUAUGGCAAAAAAAAAAAAAAAAAAAAACUGAAAAUGCCUCAACAUGAACCCCUGGUGGUCUCUGAGGGUGAAACCUGCUAACUGCUGCAGCUCUGUCAGCUUCAGUCUCCCAUGCAGAGCUCGGAGCGCAUGUGUGGCUCUGCACCCUUAGCAGCGUUGCUAACUCCUCAGUAAGGAAAGCCUGCUUCAUGUCAGAGUCUCUAAACUCCAGAAGAAGUCGAUAAAAGUCACUUUCUUUCUAAAAAAAGUCGUUAGGGGGUCUGAAAAGUCAUUGAAUCUAACAACAAAGUCGCUAGGUUUGCAACUACAUGUCCCAGACUGCAUCCCUGCUGAGAGUCCCUCUCUCCCUUCUCAUAUUGCAGGAAGAACGUAAGUUCCCGCCCCUUGUCAAUCAGUCACCAUAUAAUUUUGGAUUGGUUGUUGUGGUGAAGUUUUCCACCAAUAGGAGAGAUGUUGUGGUGUGUUUUUUUUUUCCUUUGGCAAGCCUUUUCCGCCUGUAAGACCUGUCGCUAAUGUCUGCAUGCUAUGUUUUCCUGUCUCAUACAGCGCGAUCGAGCGCCGAACGUGAUCAAAAUAAGCAGAAAACAAGUAUCGCGGACAUAAUUUAUCAUAACUCUGGUUUUAUUUGGCCUAUCAACACAAUUUAAAAACUGGUAUAUAUGUUGAGGUCCUCACUUUUGAGAUAAGUUGAAACGGAGAGUCAACGAGGCUCCGUCUUGCAGCUACAUCCGGUUAAAUAUGUCAUGUGACUUGAACGCACACACACACACACACACACACAGACACACACACACACGCACACACACACACUCAGAGUCUGGUUUUUAGCACCUGCAAAAACAUGCUAUUUACAUAUUUGACAAGAAUGCAGAGGCUCCUUUUGCCCCUGAAAAAAAUCAAAUUUCAAACACAACUUGACUGGUCAUUUCUCCAAAAGACAACCAUGAAGCUCCAUCCAAACCUGAAGCAGGCAGUUGGUGCAUGUGUACAGUAACCUGAGGGGAGUGAGGUGACUGCUUCUGAGGAGAACAUGAGCAGUGAAGAUUCACCUUAGAGCUAGAACAGAGACGUGCACAUGAUUAUACAGGGGCAGGGGCUCAAGUUUUUUCCAGUUGUUUAUACAAUAUGGAAAUUAAUGUGAAAUUAAAAAACAAAGUAUUAAUAGAAAGGUAAUGACUGUCCUGUGUAGGUGACAGUGAUAUCCAAUAGGCUAGGCACUCACGAGGCUGGCUGUGGCAAGUGUAAGUGAAAGCAACACGCACUGGCAGGAAGAACAGCAAACGCCGAUGAAGGAAAAGGGUCUUUGCAGUGAUGGGCGUUACCAGAGAAGGCGAUGGCCAGAGGACACAAAUGGGACGGGGAGGCAGCGCGUUGGGGGCGGGGACGCGACACAGCUCGGGCCCGCCAGUGCCCCAACGGGGUCCUAGUUAUUAGGGCCCGAGCGUAGCUGCUAAGCAGCUGCGAGAGCCCUAUUAUUCCUGAUGGAUUCUUCUUUAGGGCCCGAGCGUAGCUGCUAAGCAGCUGCGAGAGCCCUCUUGUUCCUGCAUGUUUCCUUCUUUCGUUAUUAUUUUUCCUCCGCUUCAAACUGGAAAAUGGCCCACUUCCCACUGGCGAAAACUCAGGAAAUUUGGCAGGACGACCGGGCCUGGUGAAAAAUUCGAUAUUCUGAAGUCGCCCAAACAAUAAAAUGCAAAAUGGCUCCAUAGCGCCCCCUAAGGUGAAAAUUCACAUGACGGCUGUAUGCUUUGUCAUAUUGACACAAAAAUUGACACACACAUGUAUCUCAAUAAGAUCUACAAAAAAGUCAGUGCGGGCGUAUCUGUCAAAUGUACGGUUAAUGGGUUAUUUUGCAUUUUUUGCAGAUCUGCACACAUUGGAAUUUCGCUAACUCCUCCGAAGGCUUUCGUUCGACCGGCACCACAUUUGCGCAGGCCAAUCUACCCCCCAUGGCCAUUAAAAGUUGUACAAAUCAUGACGCUGCACCCCACGGUUUACGUUCUAGGGGGCGCCAAAGAUAACCCAAAAAUCCACAUUCUUAAAAGUCUUAUAACUUUUUACUUUUGUCCUCACUGGCCUCCAAGUUUUCUAGGAUGAUGCAAUGUCCAGCCAUCAACACAUUUGUGAAGGAAUUUUUACUCCCCAAAAGAGCGCCCCCCAAUGGCAGGAGAAAAAGGUCCAUUUUUUCUUGUCUCCUAAGGUGAAAAUACACAUCAUCGAGUGUCACGCCAGUAUGCUUUGUCAUAUUGACACAAAAUUUGACAAUCACGUGUAUCUCAAUAAGAUCUAUGAAAAAGUCAAAGGGCGUGUAUCUGUCAAAUGUACGGUUAAAGGGCUAUUUUGCAUUUUUUGCCGAUCCGCACACAUUGGAAUUUCGCUAACUCCUCCGAAGGCUAUCUUUCCACCGGCACCAAAUUUGCUCAGGCCAAUCUACACCCCAUGGCCAUUCAAAGUUGUACAAAUCAUGACGCUGCACCCCACAGUUUACGUUCUAGGGGGCGCCAAAGAGGACCCAAAUAUCCACAUUUUUAAAAGUCUUAUAACUUUUUAUUUUUGUCCUCACUGGCCUCCAAGUUUUCUAGGAUGAUGCAAUGUCCAGCCAUCAACACAUUUGUGAAGGAAUUUUUUCUCCCCAAAAGAGCGCCCCCCCAUGGCAGGAGAAAAAGUCAAGUUUUUCCUGCCCAUCGCUCAAUGGCUCAAACGCAUCGCUCUCUCGGCAAAACCGAAAGGAGGAGCAACUUGCCAUUUGGAUAUAUACUAGCUGUGUUUGUGCCCUCACUCAUGGUCCAGACUUUUUUCAAAAAGGACAUGGAGUUUGUCUGAAGCGAGCGUUUUGGUAGAAACUGCGCCUCCCAUUCAUUAUAAUGGUAAAUGACCACAGACAAGUGCGCACACCAUCUUUGGACCUUGAGUGUGACGCGAUCGGGAGGGGUAGGCGGUCGCGCUGGGGGUGGCGCGACACGGCUCGGGCCCGCCAGUGCCCCAACGGGGCCCUAGUUCUUCUUCUUCUUAUUAUUAUUUUUCUGCCCCUUUGAACUGGAAAAUGGCCCACUUCCCACUGGUGAAAAGUCAUGAAAUUUGGCAGGACGACCGGGCCUGGUGAAAAAUUCGAUAUUCUGAAGUCGCCCAAAAAAUCAAAUGCAAAAUGGCUCCAUAGCGCCCCCUAAGGUGAAAAAUUCACAUGAUUGAGUGUCACGCCUGUACGCUUUGUCAAAAUGACACAAAAUUUGACACACACGUGUAUCUCAAUAAGAUCUACAAAAAAGUCAGUGCGGGCGUAUCUGUCAAAUGUACGGUUAAAGGGCUAUUUCGCAUUUUUUGCCGAUCCGCACACAUUGGAAUUUCGCUAACUCCUCCGAAGGCUUUCGUUCCACCGGCACCAAAUUUGCUCAGGCCAAUCUACACCCCAUGGCCAUUAAAAGUUGUACAAAUCAUGACGCUGCAUCCCACGGUUUACGUUCUAGGGGGCGCCAAAGAUAACCCAGAAAUCCACAUUCUUAAAAGUCGUAUAACUUUUUAUUUUUGUCCUCACUGGCCUCCAAGUUUUCUAGGAUGAUGCAAUGUCCAGCCAUCAACACAUUUGUGAAGGAAUUUUUACUCCCCAAAAGAGCGCCCCCCCCAUGGCAGGAGAAAAAAGUCCAUUUUUUCUUGUCCCCUAAGGUGAAAAUACACAUUGUUGAGUGUCACGCCUAUACGCUUUGUCAAAAUGACACAAAAAUUGACACACACAUGUAACUCAAUAAGAUCUACGAAAAAGUCAAUGCGCGCGUAUCUGUCAAAUGUACGGUUAAAGGGUUAUUCCGCAUUUUUUGCCGAUCCGCACACAUUGGAAUGUGGCUAACUCCUCCUAAGGCUUUCGUUCCACCGGCACCACAUUUGCUCAGGCCAAUCUACACCCCAUGGCCAUUAAAAGUUAUCAAAAUCAUGACGCUGCACCCCACGGUUUAGGUUCUAGGGGGCGCCAAAGACAACCCUAAAAUCCACAUAUUUAAAAGUCUUAUAACUUUUUAUUUUUGUCCUCACUGGCCUCCAAGUUUUCUAGGAUGAUGCAAUGUCCAGCCAUCAACACAUUUGUGAAGGAAUUUUUACUCCCCAAAAGAGCGCCCCCCCAUGGCAGGAGAAAAAAGUCCAUUUUUUCUUGUCACCUAAGGUGAAAAUACAUAUUGUUGAGAUUCACGCCUAUACGCUUUGUCAUAUUGACACAAAAUUUGACAAUCACGUGCCUUGCCUGGUAUCAUUUUUUUCAGCACAACCUCACCUGUGCGAAUUUACAGUUAUUUUAUCAUGUUGACAUACUGAAUUUACACAAUGGACCCAAAUUCACACACAAAACAUAAAAUCCGAGUGGAAAAAAGUAACAUUUUUACUGUGAAAACCACAAAUAUGUGUGAUGAACUGUUUUUAAAACUUAAACUUCAAAUAAAAAUUGUAAACUUCAAAACAUAUGCAAAUUUUUAACAAAGAACAUAGUGAUUUACCUCUAUUUACAUCAAAAUGCAGGCAAUGGCCCAGGCGUUCUUUGUAAAAUUAUUUACAAAACACUGUAUAGUCUCACAAAUGUCACUUUUUAUUUAUGCCACUACAAAAAAAAACAUGAUGUAAAUGAUGCAUGAUGUAAAACAUGAUGUAAAAAACUUGUGUAGAUCCUCCUCUAUGUCAGUCCAUGUGUAAUUUUUCCAUAAUUCUUUGUUUUUUGCAGCAUUUUUGUUAGUGUAACUGCAGAUUGUGCUGACAGUGUCUAUGGCACAAAAAAAAAAAAAAUUAAAAUGCCUCAACAUGAACCCCUGGUGGUCUCUGAGGGUGAAACCUGCUAACUGCUGCAGCUCUGUCAGCUUCAGUCUCCCAUGCAGAGCUCGGAGCGCAUGUGUGGCUCUGCACCCUUAGCAGCGUUGCUAACUCCUCAGUAAGGAAAGCCUGCUUCAUGUCAGAGUCUCUAAACUCCAGAAGAAGUCGAUAAAAGUCCCUUUCUUUCUAAAAAAAAAUCGUUAGGGGGUCUGAAAAGUCAUUGAAUCUAACAACAAAGUCGCUAGGUUUGCAACUACGUGUCCCAGACUGCAUCCCUGCUGAGAGUCCCUCCCUCCCUUCUCAUGUUGCAGGAAGAACGUAAGCGCCCGCCCCUUGUCAAUCAGUCACCAUAUAAUUUUGGAUUGGUUGUUGUGGUGAAGUUUUCCACCAAUAGGAGAGAUGUUGUGGUGUGUUUUUUUUUUCUUUUGGCAAGCCUUUUCCGCCUGUAAGAGCUGUCGCUAAUGUCUGCAUGCUAUGUUUUCCUGUCUCAUACAGCGCGAUCGAGCGCCGAACGUGAUCAAAAUAAGCAGAAAAAAAGUAUCGCGGACAUAAUUUAUCACUAGGGCCCCGAUGGGGCACUGUCGGGCCCGAGCCGCGUCGCGCCGCCCCCAGUGCGACCGCCUCCCCGUCCCGAUCGAGUCACACUCAAGAACCAAAGAUGGUGUGCGCACUUGUCUGUGGUCAUUUCCCAUUAUAAUGAAUGGGAGGCGCAGUUUCUACCAAAACACUCGCUGCAGACAAACUUCAUGUCCUAUUUGAAAAAAGUCUGGACCAUGAGUGAGGGCACAAACACAGCUAUGAUAUAUCGAAAUGCCAGGUUGCUCCUCCUUACGGUGUUGCCUGGAGAGCGAUGCGAUUGAGCCAUUGAGCGAUGGGCAGGAAAAACUUGACUUUUUCUCCUGCCAUAGGGGGGGGGAUGUGGAUUCUUUUAAGAAUGUGGAUUUUUGGGUCAUUUUUGGCGCCCCCUAGAACGUAAACCGUGGGGUGCAGCGUCAUGAUUUUUACAACUUUGAAUGGCCAUGGGGUGUAGAUUGGCCUGAGCAAAUUUGGUGUCAGAGGGACGAAAGCCUUAGGAGGAGUUAGCCACAUUCCAAUGUGUGCGAAUCGGCAAAAAAUGAAAAAUAGCCCUUAAACCGUACAUUUGACAGAUACGCGCGAAUUGACUUUUUUAUAGAUCUAAUUGAGAUACAUAGGUGUGUCAAUUUUUGUGUCAAUAUGAUAAAGCGUACAGGCGUGACAGUCAAUAGUGUGAAUUUCCACCUUAGGGGACAAGAAAAAAAUGACUUUUUUCUCCUGCCAUGGGGGGGCGCUCUUUUGGGGAGUAAAAAUUCCUUCACAAAUGUGUUGAUGGCUGGACAUUGCAUCAUCCUAGAAAACUUGGAGGCCAGUGAGGACAAAAAUAAAAAGUUAUAAGACUUUUAAAUAUGUGGAUUUUAGGGUUAUCUUUGGCGCCCCCUAGAACCUAAACCGUGGGAUGCAGCGUCAUGAUUUGAAUAACUUUUAAUGGCCAUGGGGUGUAGAUUGGCCUGAGCAAAUGUGGUGCCGGUGGAACGAAAGCCUUCGGAGGAGUUAGCGAAAUUCCAAUGUGUGCGGAUCGGCAAAAAAUGCAGAAUAACCCUUUAACCGUACAUUUGACAGAUACGCGCGCAUUGACUUUUUCGUAGAUCUUAUUGAGAUACAUGUGUGUGUCAAUUUUUGUGUCAUUUUGCCAAAGCGUACAGGUGUUACACUCAACAAUGUGUAUUUUCACCUUAGGGGACAAGAAAAAAUUGACUUUUUUCUCCUGCCAUGGGGGGGGCUCUUUUGGGGAGUAAAAAUUCCUUCACAAAUGUGUUGAUGGCUGGACAUUGCAUCAUCCUAGAAAACUUGGAGGCCAGUGAGGGCAAAAAUAAAAAGUUAUAAGACUUUUAAAUAUAUCGAUUUUAGGGUUAUUUUUGGCGCCCCCUAGAACCUAAACCGUGGGGUGCAGCGUCAUGAUUUGAAUAACUUUUAAUGGCCAUGGGGUGUAGAUUGGCCUGAGCAAAUGUGGUGCCGGUGGAACGAAAGCCUUCGGAGGAGUUAGCGAAAUUCCAAUGUGUGCGGAUCGGCAAAAAAUGCGAAAUAACCCUUUAACCGUACAUUUGACAGAUACGCCCGCACUGACUUUUUUGUAGAUCUUACUGAGAUACAUGUGUGUGUCAAUUUUUGUGUCAUUUUGACAAAGCGUACAGGCGUGACAGUGAAUAGUGUGAAUUUUCACCUUAGGGGGCGCUAUGGAGCCAUUUUGCAUUUUCUUGUUUGGGCGACUUCGGAAUAUCAAAUUUUUCACCAGGCCCGGUCGUCCUGCCAAAUUUCAUGAGUUUUCGCCAGUGGGAAGUGGGCCAUUUUCCAGUUCAAAGGGGAGGAAAAAUAAUAAUAAUAACAAACUAGGGCCCCGUUGGGGCACUGGCGGGCCCGAGCCGUGUCACGCCGCCCCCAGCGCGACCGCCUCCCCCACCCGAUCGCGUCACACUCAAGGUCCAAAGAUGGUGUGCGCACUUGUUUGUGGUCAUUUACCAUUAUAAUGAAUGGGAGGCGCAGUUUCUACCAAAACGCUUGCUGCAGAAAAACUCCAUGUCCUAUUUGAAAAAAGUCUGGACCAUGAGUGAGGGCACAAACACAGCUAAGAUAUAUCCAAAUGGCAAGUUGCUCCUCCUUUCGCUUUUGCCGAGAGAGCAGUGCGUUUGAGCCAUUGAAUGAUGAACAGGAAAAACUUGACUUUAUUCUCCUGCCAUGGGGGGCGCUCUUUUAAAGAGAAAAAACUCCUUCACAAAUGUGUUGAUGGCUGGACAUUGCAUCAUCCUAGAAAACAUGGAGGCCAGUGAGGACAAAAAUAAAAAGUUAUAAGACUUUUAAAUAUGUGGAUUUUAGGGUUAUAUUUGGCGCCCCCUAGAACCUAAACCGUGGGGUGCAGCGUCAUGAUUUGAAUAACUUUUAAUGGCCAUGGGGUGUAGAUUGGCCUGAGCAAAUGUGGUGCCGGUGGAACGAAAGCCUUCGGAGGAAUUAGCGAAAUUCCAAUGUGUGCGAAUCUGCAAAAAAUGCGAAAUAACCCUUUAACCGUACAUUUUACAGAUACGUGGCCAUUGACUUUUUCGAAGAUCUUAUGUAAAUACACGUGUAUGUAAAAUUUUGUGUCAAUACGACAAAACAUACAGGCGUAGCACUCAACAAUGUGUAUUUUCACCUUAGUGGACAAGAAAAAAUUGACUUUUUUCUCCUGCCAUGGGGGGCGCUCUUUUGCCGAGUAAAAAUUCCUUCACAAAUGUGUUGAUGGCUGGACAUUGCAUCAUCCUAGAAAACUUGGAGGCCAGUGGGGACAAAAAUAAAAAGUUAUAAGACUUUUAAAUAUGUGGAUUUUACGGUUAUCUUUGGCUCCCCCUAGAACCUAAACCGUGGGGUGCAGCGUCAUGAUUUGAAUAACUUUUAAUGGCCAUGGGGUGUAGAUUGGCCUGAGCAAAUGUGGUGCCGGUGGAACGAAAGCCUUCGGAGGAGUUAGCGAAAUUCCAAUGUGUGCGGAUCGGCAAAAAAUGCGGAAUAACCCUUUAACCGUACAUUUGACAGAUACGCGCGCAUUGACUUUUUCGUAGAUCUUAUUGAGAUACAUGUGUGUGUCAAUUUUUGUGUCAUUUUGCCAAAGCGUACAGGUGUUACACUCAACAAUGUGUAUUUUCACCUUAGGGGACAAGAAAAAAAUGGACUUUUUUCUCCUGCCAUGGGGGGGCGCUCUUUUGGGGAGUAAAAAUUCCUUCACAAAUGUGUUGAUGGCUGGACAUUGCAUCAUCCUAGAAAACUUGGAGGCCAGUGAGGGCAAAAAUAAAAAGUUAUAAGACUUUUAAAUAUGUGGAUCUUAGGGUUAUCUUUGGCGCCCCCUAGAACCUAAACCGUGGGGUGCAGCGUCAUGAUUUGAAUAACUUUUAAUGGCCAUGGGGUGUAGAUUGGCCUGAGCAAAUGUGGUGCCGGUGGAACGAAAGCCUUCGGAGGAGUUAGCGAAAUUCCAAUGUGUGCGGAUCGGCAAAAAAUGCGAAAUAACCCUUUAACCGUACAUUUGACAGAUACGCCCGCACUGACUUUUUUGUAGAUCUUAUUGAGAUACAUGUGUGUGUCAAUUUUUGUGUCAUUUUGACAAAGCGUACCGGCGUGACAGUGAAUAGUGUGAAUUUUCACCUUAGGGGGCGCUUUGGAGCCAUUUUGCAUUUUCUUGUUUGGGCGACUUCGGAAUAUCAAAUUUUUCACCAGGCCCGGUCAUCCUGCCAAAUUUCAUGAGUUUUCGCCAGUGGGAAGUGGGCCAUUUUCCAGUUCAAAGGGGAGGAAAAAUAAUAAUAACUAGGACCCCGUUGGGGCACUGGCGGGCCCGAGCUGUGUCGCGUCCCCCCCCCAACGCGCUGCCUCCCCGUCCCAUUUGUGUCCUCUGGCCAUCGCCCUCUCUGGUAACGCCCAUCACUGCAAAGACCCUUUUCCUUCAUCGGCGUUUGCUGUUCUUCCUGCCAGUGCGUGUUGCUUUCACUUACACUUGCCACAGCCAGCCCCUUGAGUGCCUAGCCUAUUGGAUAUCACUGUCACCUACUCAGGACAGUCAUUACCUUUCUAUUAAUACUUUGUUUUUUAAUUUCACAUUAAUUUCCAUAUUGUAUAAACAACUGGAAAAAACUUGAGCCCCUGCCCCUGUAUAAUCAUGUGCACGUCUCUGUUCUAGCUCUAAGGUGAAUCUUCACUGCUCAUGUUCUCCUCAGAAGCAGUCACCUCACUCCCCUCAGGUUACUGUACACAUGCACCAACUGCCUGCUUCAGGUUUGGAUGGAGCUUCAUGGUUGUCUUUUGGAGAAAUGACCAGUCAAGUUGUGUUUGAAAUUUGAUUUUUUUCAGGGGCAAAAGGAGCCUCUGCAUUCUUGUCAAAUAUGUAAAUAGCAUGUUUUUGCAGGUGCUAAAAACCAGACUCUGAGUGUGUGUGUGUGCGUGUGUGUGUGUGUCUGUGUGUGUGUGUGUGUGUGUGUGUGUGUGUGCGUUCAAGUCACAUGACAUAUUUAACCGGAUGUAGCUGCAAGACGGAGCCUCGUUGACUCCGUUUCAACUUAUCUCAAAAAUGAGGACCUCAACCUAUAUACCAGUUUUUAAAUUGUGUUGAUAGGCCAAAUAAAACCAGAGUUAUGAUAAAUUAUGUCCGCGAUACUUGUUUUCUGCUUAUUUUGAUCACGUUCGGCGCUCGAUCGCGCUGUAUGAGACAGGAAAACAUAGCAUGCAGACAUUAGCGACAGGUCUUACAGGCGGAAAAGGCUUGCCAAAGGAAAAAAAAAACACACCACAACAUCUCUCCUAUUGGUGGAAAACUUCACCACAACAACCAAUCCAAAAUUAUAUGGUGACUGAUUGACAAGGGGCGGGCGCUUACGUUCUUCCUGCAAUAUGAGAAGGGAGGGAGGGACUCUCAGCAGGGAUGCAGUCUGGGACACGUAGUUCCAAACCUAGCGACUUUGUUGUUAGAUUCAAUGACUUUUCAGACCCCCUAACGACUUUUUUUUUAGAAAGAAAGUGACUUUUAUCGACUUCUUCUGGAGUUUAGAGACUCUGACAUGAAGCAGGCUUUCCUUACUGAGGAGUUAGCAACGCUGCUAAGGGUGCAGAGCCACACAUGCGCUCCGAGCUCUGCAUGGGAGACUGAAGCUGACAGAGCUGCAGCAGUUAGCAGGUUUCACCCUCAGAGACCACCAGGGGUUCAUGUUGAGGCAUUUUCAGUUUUUUUUUUUUUUUUGCCAUAGACACUGUCAGCACAAUCUGCAGUUACACUAACAAAAAUGCUGCAAAAAACAAAGAAUUAUGGAAAAAUUACACAUGGACUAACAUAGAGGAGGAUCUACACAAGUUUUUUACAUCAUGUUUUACAUCAUGCAUCAUUUACAUCAUGUUUUUUUGUAGUGGCAUAAAUAAAAAGUGACAUUUGUGAGACUAUACAGUGUUUUGUAAAUAAUUUUACAAAGAACACCUGGGCCAUUGCCUGCAUUUUGAUGUAAAUAGAGGUAAAUUACUAUGUUCUUUGUUAAA
Molecule: long non-coding RNA, 11568 nt
Filed under: Xyrichtys novacula (pearly razorfish)
Lineage: Eukaryota; Metazoa; Chordata; Actinopteri; Labriformes; Labridae
Source: RNAcentral